Non-coding RNA from Eucalyptus grandis, 129 nucleotides. NCBI's taxonomy places the organism in Eukaryota, Viridiplantae, Streptophyta, Magnoliopsida, Myrtales, Myrtaceae. The record is from Rfam.
AAGACUAGAGAUGCUCUGACUAGCCAAGGAGAUUGCCUAGAGCCGACCGUUUUGACCGUAUGAUGAGUAGACAAAUCUGAGUUCAGAGUAGGCAAGUCAUCCUUGGCUUUCAAAACAAGGCUCUCAUCC